RNAcentral lists this ribosomal RNA (1777 nucleotides) under Nicotiana glauca (tree tobacco). RNAcentral describes it as "SSU rRNA". It matches the Rfam family "Eukaryotic small subunit ribosomal RNA". Lineage: Eukaryota; Viridiplantae; Streptophyta; Magnoliopsida; Solanales; Solanaceae. The record is from RNAcentral.
CCUGGUUGAUCCUGCCACUAGUCAUAUGCUUGACUCAAAGAUUAAGCCAUGCAUGUGUAAGUAUGAACAAAUUCAGACUGUGAAAUUGUGAAUGGCUCAUUAAAUCAGUUAUAGUUUGUUUGAUGGUAUCUACUACUCGGAUAACCAUAGUAAUUCUAGAGCUAAUACAUGCAACAAACCCUGACUUUUGGAAGGGAUGCAUUUAUUAGAUAAAAAGUCAACGCACGCUCUGCUCGUUGCUGCAAUGAUUUAUGAUAACUCGACGAAUCGCACGACCAUCAUGCCGGAGACGCAUCAUUCAAAAUUAUGCCCUAUCAACUUUUGAUGGUAGGAUAGUGGCCUACCAUGGUGGUGACAGGUGACGGAUAAAGAGCCUGAGAAAUGGCUACCACAUCCAAGAAAGGCAGCAGGCGCGCAAAUUACCCAAUCCUGACACAGGGAGGUAGUGACAAUAAAUAAUAAUACCGGGCUCUAUGUGUUUGGUAAUUGGAAUGAGGACAAUCUAAAUCCCUUUACGAGGAUCCAUCGGAGGGAAACUCUAGUUCCAGCAGCCGCGGUGAUUCCAGCUCCAAUAGCGUAUAUUUAAGUUUUUAUAGUUAAAAAGCUCGUAGUUAGACUUUGGGAUGGGCCGGCUGGUCUGCCUUAGGUGUGCACCGGUCGUCUCGUCCCUUCUGUCAGCGAUGUUCUCCUUGCCUUAAUUGGCCGGGUCGUGCCUCCGGUGCUGUUACUUUGAAGAAAUUAGAGUUCUCAAAGCAAGCCUACGCUCUGUGUACAUUAGCAAGGGAUAACGUUAUAGGAUUUCGGUCCUAUUACGUUGGCCUUCGGGAUCGGAGUAAUGAUUAAUAGGGACAGUUGGGGGCAUUCAUAUUUCAUAGUCAGAGGUGAAAUUCUUAGAUUUAUGAAAGACGAACAACUGCGAAAGCAUUUGCCAAGGAUGUUUUCAUAUAUUAAGAAUGAAAGUUGGGGGCUCGAAGACGAUCAGAUACCGUCCUAGUCUCAACCAUAAAUGAUGCCGACCAGGGAUCGGCGAAUGUUGCUUUUAGGACUCCGCCGACACCUUAUGAAAAAUCAAAGUUUUUGGGUUCCGGGGGGAGUAUGGUCGCAAGGCUAAAAAUUAAAGGAAUUGACGGAAGGGCACCACCAGGAGUGGAUCCUGCAGCUUAAUUUGACUCAACACGGGGAAACUUACCAGGUCCAUACAUAGUAAGGAUUGACAAACUGAGAGCUCUUUCUUGAUUCUAUGGGUGGUGGUGCAUGGCCGCUCUUAGUUGGUGGAGCGAUCUGUCUGGUUAAUUUUGUUAACGAACAAGACCUCAGCCUGCUAACUAGCUAUGCGGAGGUAUCCCUUCGCGGCCAGCUUAUUAGAGGGACUACGGCCUUUAAGGUCGUGAAAGUUUGAGGCAAUAACAUGUCUGUGAUUCCCUUAGAUGUUCUGGGCUGCACGCGCGCUACACUGAUGUAUUCAAUGAUUUUAUAGCCUUGGCCGACAGGCCCGAGUAAUCUUUGAAAUUUCAUCGUGAUGGGGAUAGAUCAUUGUAAUUGUUGGUCUUCAACGAGGAAUUCCUAGUAAUCGCGAGUCAUCGGCUCGCAUUGACUACGUUCCUGUCUUUUGUACACACCGCCCCUCGCUCCUAUCGAUUGAAAGAUCUAGUGAAAUGUUCGAAUCAUGGCGAUGUGGGCGGUUUACUUCCUGCAAUGUCAUGAGAAGUCCAUUGAACCUUAUCAUUUAGAGGAAGGAGAAGUCGUAAUAAGGUUUCCAUAGGUGAACCUGUAGAAG